Molecule: transfer RNA, 66 nt
Filed under: Staphylinidae sp. BMNH 1274252
Lineage: Eukaryota; Metazoa; Arthropoda; Insecta; Coleoptera; Staphylinidae
Description: tRNA-Ile
Source: RNAcentral
AGCAAAAUGCCUGAAUAAAGGAUUAUUUUGAUAGAAUAAAUUAUGUAAUUUUUAUUACUUUUGUUA